AGGCGGAAGAUGGAAAAUAUAUGCUGAAUCCAAUGAAUUGUCCAAUUACCUAUGAGGAGCCUCCAACACUCAUGCUCAACACGAUAAUUCUGAUGAUUUCUGCUCCUUUCUUAUAUGCGACCAUUCUGAUCUACUGGCUCAUCCCGGAGUUGUGGAACUUGCACACCAAAUGUUUAAUUUGCUAUCUACUGUCGUUAGCUAUUGGCACCACGAUGAUUGUAGUGACAAACAUCCAAAACUCGGAUUACGACAACGUGCUUUGCGCCAUUAUUGGAUUUGUGACGUACUAUUUCCUCACGGCGGUAUUUUUCUGGCUUAAUGUCAUCUGUUUUGAUCUUUGGCACAAUUUCCGCGGCACCAAAGGAAAUGUUCAGCAUUUGACUCAGAGAAAACGAUUCUUCUACUACGCUCUCUACGCUUGGGGUCUGCCGGCUCUGAUGACCGUUUUGACUAUAGCUUUGCAGUACUCCGAUUUGCCAAAUAAACUCAAGUCCGGUAUAGGAUAUUCCCAUUGUUGGUUGAAAGUUGACGACUGGUCAGCCAUGAUUUAUUUCUACGGACCCUGCCUAGUGCUUAUUGUUUUCAACAUGGUUAUAUUUUACCUAACCGCUGAGCGGAUCUACACCAUACGAAAGGAAUUGAAAAUGUUCUCUCAGGGCGAAGACAGCAGGCGACAUUUGCGUUCCCAAAAAAAUGAAACCAAUUUAAUGAAAUACUUUAGUUUAUGGCUCUUCUUUCGAUUGUUCAUUGUUAUGGGAAUCGGUUGGUUGCUGGAGGUGCUGGGCUAUAUUGUUGGCAGUAAGAGUGAGUACGCCAUUUUUUUCGCAUUUGCCGACAUUUACAACGCUUCUCAGGGUUUGAUUUUAUUUGUGCUGUUGGUUGUGAAGAAGAAGGUGCUGCUACUCAUAAAGAAGAGAAUUUUAUGCAUUGAGGGGUCUGAUACCACAGACUCAGCUGAUUCGCGGUGCUCUGAAGAGGACGUAGCGCUGCAAACUGUCACAAAUGGAAUUCCCUCGAUAUUGAAAUGAGUAAAUGAAUAGAGUCUUUAAACCGGGAAGCACUGUGCAGUCAUCAAAUGGGCGAACAACCAAAUCUAGUGCAUCGACCAGGGAACUGACUAAUCUGGCAAGUCGACA
Molecule: RNA transcript, 1136 nt
Organism: Rhagoletis pomonella (apple maggot)
Lineage: Eukaryota; Metazoa; Arthropoda; Insecta; Diptera; Tephritidae
Gene name: G-protein coupled receptor Mth2-like
Source: RefSeq, a predicted model, not a curated record